This 1241-nucleotide long non-coding RNA is filed under the name Malus domestica (apple). Its description in RNAcentral is "long non-coding RNA (MDOM_LNC016074)". Lineage: Eukaryota; Viridiplantae; Streptophyta; Magnoliopsida; Rosales; Rosaceae. The record is from RNAcentral.
AGUGUUUCUUGGUCUUGGGCGCAAAAGUUCUUCCAAAGAGUCAGCGCUGCUAGAUCCCACCUCUUCCUCUAAUACUCUUUCUACAUUUAUCCCUUCAUUACGUGCUUCUUCAGCAACUCUGGGAGCUGGGUUGCCUUCAUCAUCAUCUAAAUGAAGAGGUCUAAUCCAUUGAAAAAGUUGGUUACCCUCUGUAUCAUCAUCUUCACCAACAAUAUCAAACACAUCUAGUGGGUCACCACGGUCGACAUGAUCUAUUUAUGCUUCCUUAUCUCGAAUUUGAAGCUUCAUGUUGUAGUAGCAAUAAACUAAUUUUUCCAAGCUACUAUGAGCCAACUUAUUUCUUUGCUUUGUGUGUAUGAGUGCAAAUGUGCUCUAAUUUCUUUCACAAGAAUAUGAGGAAGCUGUUUAUGAUAAUACUUUGAUUGCUAACUUUCUCACAGUUGGUGCAUCGGUCCCAUACAUGAUCCACCAUUUAGCUACAAUGAAAAACAAUGUUGAUAAGCCUAAUAACUCCAACAAAUUAUAUUAUAAACUUAUAGUGAAAUAUGUUUAUACUCACUAGGAAACAUAUUUGUUCGAGCAGCAACUGAUGUUGGUUCUCCAAAAGUUCUUCUUGCAUCUUUAAACCAUGUUAGCUGAAUUCAAUAAAUCGUGUUAGUUUAAUCCAACAAAGUAAUUAUUAUAAUUUAAGUAAUUGUGUAUCUCAUUUCCAAAUUGGCCAACUGCUGGUGAUGCAGGGUCUAAUUUAGAGUAUACAUUAUGUACAGCACGUAUAAGGUUACCAUCAUCUCCAACACCGGGUCUGUAUUGGUAUCGGGGAUUCAAAUAAUAUGCUGUUCAAAGAAACACAUACUCUAAUAAGAGAAAUAAUACUUAUGCAACUAAAGAAAUGAAUUGCAAAUUAUGACAUAAUUUAUACUUGCUGCAUGCAAAUCGUGGUAUAAUGUUUUAUACCAUCGGUCUUCAAUUAUCUUUAUGACCCACCUUGCACCAUGUUUUCUUUCCAAUUCAUCCUUCACUACACGCAUCAACUCAUAUACUGCCCCCAUAGUAGGAUACACUUAUGUGUCAACGAUCUGUAAAACUUUGUAAAGAGGUUCAAACACUUGGCACACAUGUUCUGAUUGAGUCCAAAAAGCAUGAUCAAGCACUAUACUUUCCACCAUACGACCUGUAUUUGAGCGGCUCAAAUUAUGGUUGGCCCAAUCGUCACUAGUGAAUAGUUGCUUCAACCCUACUUU